UUUAAAUAAACAUUUGUACCGUAGACAGCAGGGGCAAACAUUGCUUAAUAAGCCUGCCGAGGUAGUGCGAUAGAUAGCUAUGACUAUUAUUUUGCCUCCAUGUCUCGGUAGAUAUGGAGGCUUUUUAUUGCUCGG
Bacillus sp. X1(2014) is the source of this 135-nucleotide non-coding RNA. Lineage: Bacteria; Bacillati; Bacillota; Bacilli; Caryophanales; Bacillaceae. The record is from Rfam.